This 537-nucleotide ribosomal RNA is filed under the name uncultured Bacillota bacterium. Its description in RNAcentral is "bacterial SSU rRNA". It matches the Rfam family "Bacterial small subunit ribosomal RNA", at positions 340 to 868 of the family's 1533-position model. Lineage: Bacteria; Bacillati; Bacillota. The record is from RNAcentral.
UACGGGAGGCAGCAGUAGGGAAUCUUCCACAAUGGACGAAAGUCUGAUGGAGCAACGCCGCGUGAGUGAAGAAGGUUCUCGGAUCGUAAAACUCUGUUGUGAGGGAAGAACAAGUACCGGAGUAACUGCCGGUACCUUGACGGUACCUCAUUAGAAAGCCACGGCUAACUACGUGCCAGCAGCCGCGGUAAUACGUAGGUGGCAAGCGUUGUCCGGAAUCAUUGGGCGUAAAGCGCGCGCAGGCGGUCCCUUAAGUCUGAUGUGAAAGCCCACGGCUCAACCGUGGAGGGUCAUUGGAAACUGGGGGACUUGAGUGCAGAAGAGGAAAGCGGAAUUCCAAGUGUAGCGGUGAAAUGCGUAGAGAUUUGGAGGAACACCAGUGGCGAAGGCGGCUUUCUGGUCUGUAACUGACGCUGAGGCGCGAAAGCGUGGGGAGCAAACGGGAUUAGAUACCCUGGUAGUCCACGCCGUAAACGAUGAGUGCUAAGUGUUAGGGGGUUUCCGCCCCUUAGUGCUGCAGCUAACGCAUUAAGCACU